UAAAAAAAGCCGGAAUAGC
This 19-nucleotide transfer RNA is filed under the name Herzogiella seligeri. RNAcentral's name for it is "partial tRNA-Phe". RNAcentral also lists the same sequence under 7 other names. Lineage: Eukaryota; Viridiplantae; Streptophyta; Bryopsida; Hypnales; Plagiotheciaceae. The record is from RNAcentral.